UACGGAAGGCAGCAGUGGGGAAUAUUGCACAAUGGGCGAAAGCCUGAUGCAGCUAUGCCGCGUGUAUGAAGAAGGCCUUAGGGUUGUAAAGUACUUUCAUCGGGGAGGAAAAAACAAAACUAAUAAUUUUAUUUCUUGACGUUACCCGAAAAAGAAGCACCGGCUAACUCCGUGCCAGCAGCCGCGGUAAUACGGAGGGUGCUAGCGUUAAUCAGAAUUACUGGGCAUAAAGAGCACGUAGGUGGUUUUUUUAAGUUCAGAUGUGAAAUCCCUGGGCUUAACCUGGAACUGCAUUUUGAAACUGAAAUACUAGAGUAUCGUAGAGGGAGGUAGAAUUCUAGGUGUAGCGGUGAAAUGCGUAGAUAUCUGGAGGAAUACCUGUGGCGAAAGCGGCCUCCUAAACGAAUACUGACACUGAGGUGCGAAAGCGUGGGGAGCAAACAGGGAUUAGAUACC
This 456-nucleotide ribosomal RNA is filed under the name uncultured bacterium. RNAcentral describes it as "bacterial SSU rRNA". It matches the Rfam family "Bacterial small subunit ribosomal RNA", at positions 340 to 786 of the family's 1533-position model. The record is from RNAcentral.